AUAUAAUACAUUAAAUAUGUAAAAGCUCAUAAGGAUCUUACACCCAAAAAUGAAUACGAUGCGUUGACUAGAUGUAAAAAAUCAUUGUCACCCAGUAAAUUAAAUAGAGCAAUUGAGAUUUGUUCUGAUCCUGACCUCUAUCAAAAAGCACAGAAGGCACAAAAAUGUACCGAACAAGUUGGAAUUUUCAAAAGAUUGGUGUGACGACUGUGAAUGAGGAAGACAGACUUAAACUGAAAGAAUGUCUUGCAUAAGAAUAGUGAUUGGCGAUAUUAUCGGUAUCGAUAAAUAUCAUCGAUAUUUUUGUGUCGACUUAUCAUCGAUAUAAUAAAAAAUACUCGUUGAAUAGGAUAAGCUAACUCGCUUAAUUGUAAGCUUGAAACCUCAU
Panonychus citri (citrus red mite) is the source of this 388-nucleotide long non-coding RNA. RefSeq lists it as uncharacterized. The record is from RefSeq and is a predicted model, not a curated record. NCBI's taxonomy places the organism in Eukaryota, Metazoa, Arthropoda, Arachnida, Trombidiformes, Tetranychidae. The transcript is spliced from 3 exons.